This 445-nucleotide ribosomal RNA is filed under the name Actinomyces sp. oral taxon 169. Its description in RNAcentral is "bacterial SSU rRNA". It matches the Rfam family "Bacterial small subunit ribosomal RNA", at positions 28 to 466 of the family's 1533-position model. The record is from RNAcentral. Lineage: Bacteria; Bacillati; Actinomycetota; Actinomycetes; Actinomycetales; Actinomycetaceae.
GACGAACGCUGGCGGCGUGCUUAACACAUGCAAGUCGAACGGUGAAGGGAUCAGCUUGCUGGUUCUGGAUGAGUGGCGAACGGGUGAGUAACACGUGAGUAACCUGCCCCCUUCUUCUGGAUAACCGCAUGAAAGUGUGGCUAAUACGGGAUAUUCUGGGUCUGUCGCAUGAUGGGCCCGGGAAAGAUAUUGUUUCGGUGGGGGAUGGGCUCGCGGCCUAUCAGCUUGUUGGUGGGGUGAUGGCCUACCAAGGCGGUGACGGGUAGCCGGCCUGAGAGGGUGGACGGUCACACUGGGACUGAGACACGGCCCAGACUCCUACGGGAGGCAGCAGUGGGGAAUAUUGCACAAUGGGCGCAAGCCUGAUGCAGCGACGCCGCGUGAGGGAUGGAGGCCUUCGGGUUGUAAACCUCUUUCGCCAGUGAAGCAGGCCUGCUCCUUGUGG